This 253-nucleotide ribosomal RNA is filed under the name uncultured bacterium. RNAcentral describes it as "partial 16S ribosomal RNA". It matches the Rfam family "Bacterial small subunit ribosomal RNA", at positions 524 to 776 of the family's 1533-position model. The record is from RNAcentral.
UACGGAGGGUGCAAACGUUGCUCGGAAUCAUUGGGCGUAAAGCGCACGUAGGCGGUCCGGUAAGUCGGAUGUGAAAGCCCUCGGCUCAACCGAGGAAGUGCAUUCGAAACUGCCGGACUUGAGUACGGGAGAGGGAUGCGGAAUUCCCGGUGUAGAAGUGAAAUUCGUAGAUAUCGGGAGGAACACCAGUGGCGAAGGCGGCAUCCGGGACCGAUACUGACGCUGAGGUGCGAAAGCGUGGGGAGCAAACAGG